UACGUAGGGUGCAAGCGUUAAUCGGAAUUACUGGGCGUAAAGCGUGCGCAGGCGGUUAUAUAAGACAGUUGUGAAAUCCCCCGGGGCUACAACCUGGGGAACUGCAUCUGUGACUGUAUAGCUAGAGUACGGGUAGAGGGGGAUGGAAUUCCGCGUGUAGCAGUGAAAUGCGUAGAUAUGCGGAGGAACACCGAUGGCGAAGGCAAUCCCCUGGACCUGUACUGACG
This 227-nucleotide ribosomal RNA is filed under the name uncultured bacterium. Its description in RNAcentral is "partial 16S ribosomal RNA". It matches the Rfam family "Bacterial small subunit ribosomal RNA", at positions 524 to 745 of the family's 1533-position model. The record is from RNAcentral.